Molecule: ribosomal RNA, 265 nt
Filed under: uncultured prokaryote
Description: partial 16S ribosomal RNA
Rfam family: Bacterial small subunit ribosomal RNA
Source: RNAcentral
UACGUAGGGUGCGAGCGUUGUCCGGAAUUAUUGGGCGUAAAGAGCUUGUAGGCGGUUUGUCGCGUCUGCUGUGAAAAUCCGGGGCUCAACCCCGGACUUGCAGUGGGUACGGGCAGACUAGAGUGUGGUAGGGGAGACUGGAAUUCCUGGUGUAGCGGUGAAAUGCGCAGAUAUCAGGAGGAACACCGAUGGCGAAGGCAGGUCUCUGGGCCACUACUGACGCUGAGAAGCGAAAGUAUGGGGAGCGAACAGGAUUAGAUACCCG